RNAcentral lists this ribosomal RNA (1450 nucleotides) under uncultured organism. RNAcentral describes it as "SSU rRNA". It matches the Rfam family "Bacterial small subunit ribosomal RNA". The record is from RNAcentral.
UGAACGCUAGCUACAGGCUUAACACAUGCAAGUCGAGGGGCAGCAUGGUCUUAGCUUGCUAAGGCCGAUGGCGACCGGCGCACGGGUGAGUAACACGUAUCCAACCUGCCGUCUACUCUUGGACAGCCUUCUGAAAGGAAGAUUAAUACAAGAUGGCAUCAUGAGUCCGCAUGUUCACAUGAUUAAAGGUAUUCCGGUAGACGAUGGGGAUGCGUUCCAUUAGAUAGUAGGCGGGGUAACGGCCCACCUAGUCUUCGAUGGAUAGGGGUUCUGAGAGGAAGGUCCCCCACAUUGGAACUGAGACACGGUCCAAACUCCUACGGGAGGCAGCAGUGAGGAAUAUUGGUCAAUGGGCGAGAGCCUGAACCAGCCAAGUAGCGUGAAGGAUGACUGCCCUAUGGGUUGUAAACUUCUUUUAUAAAGGAAUAAAGUCGGGUAUGCAUACCCGUUUGCAUGUACUUUAUGAAUAAGGAUCGGCUAACUCCGUGCCAGCAGCCGCGGUAAUACGGAGGAUCCGAGCGUUAUCCGGAUUUAUUGGGUUUAAAGGGAGCGUAGAUGGAUGUUUAAGUCAGUUGUGAAAGUUUGCGGCUCAACCGUAAAAUUGCAGUUGAUACUGGAUAUCUUGAGUGCAGUUGAGGCAGGCGGAAUUCGUGGUGUAGCGGUGAAAUGCUUAGAUAUCACGAAGAACUCCGAUUGCGAAGGCAGCCUGCUAAGCUGCAACUGACAUUGAGGCUCGAAAGUGUGGGUAUCAAACAGGAUUAGAUACCCUGGUAGUCCACACGGUAAACGAUGAAUACUCGCUGUUUGCGAUAUACGGCAAGCGGCCAAGCGAAAGCGUUAAGUAUUCCACCUGGGGAGUACGCCGGCAACGGUGAAACUCAAAGGAAUUGACGGGGGCCCGCACAAGCGGAGGAACAUGUGGUUUAAUUCGAUGAUACGCGAGGAACCUUACCCGGGCUUAAAUUGCAGAUGAAAUACGGUGAAAGCCGUAAGCCGCAAGGCAUCUGUGAAGGUGCUGCAUGGUUGUCGUCAGCUCGUGCCGUGAGGUGUCGGCUUAAGUGCCAUAACGAGCGCAACCCUUGUUGUCAGUUACUAACAGGUUCCGCUGAGGACUCUGACAAGACUGCCAUCGUAAGAUGUGAGGAAGGUGGGGAUGACGUCAAAUCAGCACGGCCCUUACGUCCGGGGCUACACACGUGUUACAAUGGGGGGUACAGAGGGCCGCUACCACGCGAGUGGAUGCCAAUCCCAAAAACCUCUCUCAGUUCGGACUGGAGUCUGCAACCCGACUCCACGAAGCUGGAUUCGCUAGUAAUCGCGCAUCAGCCACGGCGCGGUGAAUACGUUCCCGGGCCUUGUACACACCGCCCGUCAAGCCAUGGGAGCCGGGGGUACCUGAAGUGCGUAACCGCGAGGAGCGCCCUAGGGUAAAACUGGUGACUGGGGCUAA